GAUAAGGGUCUCAUGCGAGACGGGUAGCCGGCCUGAGAGGGCGACCGGCCACACUGGGACUGAGACACGGCCCAGACUCCUACGGGAGGCAGCAGUGGGGAAUAUUGCACAAUGGGCGAAAGCCUGAUGCAGCGACGCCGCGUGAGGGAUGACGGCCUUCGGGUUGUAAACCUCUUUCAGCAGGGAAGAAGCGAAAGUGACGGUACCUGCAGAAGAAGCGCCGGCUAACUACGUGCCAGCAGCCGCGGUAAUACGUAGGGCGCAAGCGUUGUCCGGAAUUAUUGGGCGUAAAGAGCUCGUAGGCGGCUUGUCACGUCGGAUGUGAAAGCCCGGGGCUUAACCCCGGGUCUGCAUUCGAUACGGGCUAGCUAGAGUGUGGUAGGGGAGAUCGGAAUUCCUGGUGUAGCGGUGAAAUGCGCAGAUAUCAGGAGGAACACCGGUGGCGAAGGCGGAUCUCUGGGCCAUUACUGACGCUGAGGAGCGAAAGCGUGGGGAGCGAACAGGAUUAGAUACCCUGGUAGUCCACGCCGUAAACGUUGGGAACUAGGUGUUGGCGACAUUCCACGUCGUCGGUGCCGCAGCUAACGCAUUAAGUUCCCCGCUGGGGGGAGGUACGGA
RNAcentral lists this ribosomal RNA (618 nucleotides) under Streptomyces sp. Its description in RNAcentral is "bacterial SSU rRNA". It matches the Rfam family "Bacterial small subunit ribosomal RNA", at positions 256 to 873 of the family's 1533-position model. Lineage: Bacteria; Bacillati; Actinomycetota; Actinomycetes; Kitasatosporales; Streptomycetaceae. The record is from RNAcentral.